Mesoplodon densirostris (Blainville's beaked whale) is the source of this 288-nucleotide non-coding RNA. The record is from the annotation of a RefSeq genome assembly. NCBI's taxonomy places the organism in Eukaryota, Metazoa, Chordata, Mammalia, Artiodactyla, Ziphiidae.
AUGACCUGGGUGCCCUUCUACCUCCUGCCCCUCCUGGUUCAACACAGACCCCAUCUACAUCUUCUUCCCUGCGAGGCUCGGCUGAGCAGUGACCACAGCUCAUACUACAUUGAGUGGUACCAACAGAGAGUAGGGCAGGCCCCUAGGUAUCGGAUGAAGCUGACCAGUGACGGAAGCGUCACCAAGGGGGAUGGGAUCCCCGACCGCUUCUCAGGCUCCAGCUCUGGGGCUGACCGCUACCUGACCAUCGCCAACAUCCAGUCUGAGUACGAGUGGUGUCAACUAUAA